UACUGGUCAAGGUUUUGCUAAAUUGAAACACAUUGAGGCAUACUCUUCAAUGACUUAGAGUAGUCAAUCCCAUCUCGACUCACACACCGACUCAUAAGUACUUGACUGUGCCCAAAAAUCUUUCGAUCCUAAAUUAAAAAUUUAGGUAGUCUGACACCAAAGCAUAGUGAGUUGUUUGCAAAUCACCGUAGUGAUCUCAGGUCAGAGGAACACUUAUAUCCAUAUUUUUUUGGAGUAACUCUUG
Molecule: long non-coding RNA, 244 nt
Filed under: Elaeis guineensis (African oil palm)
Lineage: Eukaryota; Viridiplantae; Streptophyta; Magnoliopsida; Arecales; Arecaceae
Description: long non-coding RNA (EGUI_LNC075477)
Source: RNAcentral